AAUAGUAAUGGCGCCUUAACUUUGUUUUCAGCUGAAAUUGGUUCUCUACCCUAAGUUACCAUCCCGCCUCUCUCCUAUGCUAGGUGUCUCUCUCGAUCUCUCACUCUCUUUCUCACAUGGCCGAAAAAUGAAGAAGGCUUGGAUGAAUGGAAGGGUACGUACAGAGGCUUCUCUAGGAGACAGGCUUCGAACGGGGAUGAUGCGGCAACACCAUUGUUUGACGAUGUGCGACAUGGUGAUGGGGCUUGAGGAUUGGGGCGUGCGACAGGGAGGUUGGGUCAUGGAUUCUACAGGGUGGCUCGGUCGUGGGUGUGAUGGUGCUUGCGGGGGUGGUUCGUGCGACGGGUUCGACUUCGGCAAGGGGAUUUUACUUUGAUUUCCAAAAGGCAUGAGAAGCGUUAAGAAAUUGAAGAUAAGGUUAUCUGGAUUACUGGUGCCAGUCGUGGAAUUGGUACAUAUAUAUAUUUACAUUUUUGUUUCAAACUUUCAUUUUCUGUACGUGUACUGGUUAAUUGAACUAUAUUUUUGUUAUUUCUUAAUUAUUUUCUUCUAGGGUGUUUAAAUUAGUUAAAUACUUUAUGUUAAUGCCACUUCAUUGGACAAGGUUGAUAAAAUUUUGGGCUAUUCUUUUCUUAAAUGAUUAAAAUACAUAUUUUAAAUAUUCUCAGUUGGGUUUCUCUUCAAGUUGUAAUUUUCUUUUAAAAAAAAACAAAAACAAAAACGUAUUGUUGCUUCAAAACCUUCAUGUGUUCCUUUAUGUGGUAGUUGUCACCACAAAUGUGUCAAGAUUAUGAUAUACUCAAUCAAAUUGGUUCGUGCUGUUAGAAUCAUUGUAAGCUGACACAUAACGCACAAUUUAACCUUUAUUGGAUUCAUUGCUGUUACUUAGCUUCACUGAGUGCAAAGGUACACUAGCAUGAAGAACUGCCAUAUACUGUGUUGAGCUAGUUUCUAUGUUGAACUAGUUUGAGGAUAAUGUAGAUCUUUAGUUUAGAGUUUAGGCAGUCUAAAAUAACUUAGGGGGUUCUAUGUAGAGCUUUAGUUUAGAGUUUAGGCAGUCUAAAAGUAAAAUCUUUUAUAAGCAUAUGAACUUUCAGAAAGGAUAACAGUUUUUGUAAAUUGAGAUUACUAAUAGGAACUUAGCAUAUUUGUAAAUUGAGGCUCGUUGAUGGUCUUUUUUGAUAUUAUUCCAUUACACAUUGCAUUUUUAUUAUAAAGUUGUCUCUGUAAGAUUAUCUAUUAUACUCAUGCCUAAUUAAUCUUUGAGUGACAUUUGACUUUGUUGCAGAUGCUAUAUUACAAGAUGACCAUAUGUGUGGCCAUAUAUUUUUUCAUAGAGUAUGAGUUCAAAAAGAAUUUUAAGGGCUUUAUGUGGAUCUCCUUGAUCUAAGUUGUGAUUUCUACCAUGCUAUAUUAAGUUGAAUUAGAACCUGAAGAGAUGUUUAGUUCCAAUACAAUUAUUUAUUUAUUGGGUUAAAUAACAAUCUUAUUUAGAUGAAGGACCCUCAUUUAAAUUUGGAUACAAGCACACCUAUUUUUUCAAGCAAGUGUUGUUCCAAACAUUCAAUCCACAAAGUGUAAAAGAAGAAGUGACAUUUUUUAGUCAUGUUGUAUUUGGUAGAAGUGUUCAUUGUAGACUUGUUGGGUUUCAUCUUGGUAAAAUUAUUGAGAUUGUUGAGAUCAGAUUUUUGAUCUUGUUGAUUGUUAUGGUCAAGUAUUUUAUUGGUUUAUUAAGUUUCUGUUUGGAGGCCGGUGAUUUCUGGACUGGGUUGAGUGGGUCUGUUUAACAUAUAUACAUAGUCGAACCACUUGCACUCUGUUGCCAAAUUAAUUGAUUCACUUUGGGGAUUUUUUAAGAGCUGUAGUAAAUUUUGGUUUGGAAACAAGCUUGAAUAAGAUAUAUUAAUCAGAAGUAUUUCAGUUUCAAUCACAAUAUGUUUUCUUUUAGUUAUGAAUUGUUUUGGUUUUUAUGUCUUGUAAUGAUUCUUAUAAAGCUCAUUUUAUUAUGUAUCUUUGUUGUUGAUGAUCUCAGAUUGAUAUGUGAUAUGAGAUUGUUACAGUAUCCAAUAUUAUAUGUUGAAGAGACUUGAAGAGCUCUUGUGUCUCAGUAUCUAGGAUGCUGAGAAGCAUCUUCAUACAUAUAUUUGUUUGAAUUAUUUGAUGUUUAAAUUCAAUCUCUUUUGUUAGGCAAUAUAAGCCUUCACUGUUCUUUCACAGUCAUUUUUAGGACAUUUUGAAUAGCAGUUUUGUUUUACUUUUUACAUUUGCCUGAGAUAAUUGUUGGAUUCUCUUAGAUUUAUUAUAUCUUUUGAUAAUGCCAAUCUUAGUCUUAAUAUGAAAUAUCAUGUAUUAUAUUUAUAUCUACUAGUCUUAAAUUUAUCAUUCACAACCAUAUACAUAUGCUUUUUUAUAUCAAGAUAAAUUAAUUAUAUUAAUAUUCUUUGAUAACUGAAAAAUAGUUAUGAAUAUAUAGUAAUAUUAAUAUUCAUUGAUCACUGAAGAGGCAAGAUACUCUAAUACCAAUAGCAGCACAGGACCUUAAUGAACAAUAUAUACUCUCUUAUGUUUCAGGAAACAAAUACUUCUCUCAUCUCUCCUCUCAGCUUUCAAAUUCUGUUUGUUAUUAUUAUUUUGCAGGUUUGAACAAGGUAUAUAUCAACCUAUUCAAAACCUAUAUAGUACUAAUUCAUCUGUCUGCAGACGAUGAAUGGCAUUACUCAUAACCCAGAUGCUUUCGUUGUUAAUAUUGGUAAAACUUUCAUGGUAUAUGGUAUGUAAUGCUUCACUUAAUUUUCUUGUGUGUGUAUAUAUAUUUAUCUAAUAGGGGUUUUCCUUGCAAAUAGCAUUAUUAUAUACAGUAUAUGAUCUUUAAAAUGGAUUGUUAUUUGUUUUGCCUCAUGCUCUUGACAUUGACACUCGGUGGGACAUUUUAAGACAAAGGAUUGGGGAGUUUUCUUCUUGUUGUGUUUUGGCUUUUUCUAAAUUUUGUUUGACCAAAAGUUUUGAUAUCUUUCUUUUUUAUUUAGGUUUCUUAUUUAUUUGUAUGUGAUGAUUUAUUUGCAAUAAGUUGUUUGAUUUAGUUCUGAAAGUUAGCUUUCUUAGCAUUAAUUUAGUUAUGAGUAUAUAUAUGGACUCUUGUAUCUAUUGGGUUCUCUUUUUAUGAUGCAAACCAGGUGUUUGUGAUAUUGGAUUUUGAAGUGUGAUGUGUGAAAUUCAUGCAAGUUUCCCUUACUGCAGUAGCUAGUGAUGGCUUUGGGAAGAUUACAUGACGGUGGCUUGCUGGGUUCAUAACUUCGACGAAGGCUCAAGGAUGACGAUAUAGCAAGUGGACUAGCGAGGGAACUUGAGACGCCGGGGGCACACGAUUACUUUUCUAGACCUCAUAAUUUUGGAGCUGAAAUCAUUAUGAACCUGGCUUCACAUUUAUGGCUGCUAAUUUUGAUGGAAUACUUGGAUAUGGCUGCUAAUUUUGAUGGAAUACUUGGACUUGGAUUUCAAGAGAUCUCGGUUGGAAAUGUUGUUUGGGGUUGCCUACAAAAUAAUCAAACAACUCCGGAAUGAACUUUUUUUCCUUAGAUACAUAUUUGAAACCAAGUAUGCCUCUCUUUCCCUCCACAUAUUGAAGGGGGUUUAUUAGUCACUCCAUUGGGACUGGGAGGGAGGCUCAAUGCAGGCCUACGGUUCCAGCAGCCCAAAGCAGUCUGGCCCAAUCCUCCAACUCCUUCGGCCUUCAUUCCUACAGCCACAUGCAUCUCCCUGCCCGCCACGUGUCCUCCCUCAUCUACCCAACGUUUCUAGCCUAGCCAACUUGCCUUCUUCAGUUUCAUCCAGCACCCAAUGUAAUCAUCCUUCCUUGCGCCACCUAUCCCCACCUGCCAUCAGUUAAGCUCUUUUCUCCUUCAGCCGAAGGUCCAAAGCGAAGCCUCCUUCAAUAGCAGCCUCUCCUGCUCAGUAAGCCCAAGUGGCCAAACAAAGGCCCGUGUCCAGAUCCAGCCAAAGGCAGCUCCCAUCUCCAGCAGCCCAAUCCAAAGUGACCCCCACAGCCUUGCUCCCUUUCCGCCAACGUGAACCAAAGCUAGCCCAAUGCAUCAACACCCCAGCCAGCUGCCUACGUGGUAGUUUCUCAUUGGCUGAAAAUGGGUCAAAAUCCUCUUGUGUCAUCAGCCAUGUUUUGUGGGUAUUGGGCUUUGUAAACUGCUAUUUUGAGCUUUAAAGCUCAUGUUUUUGUGGUAUUUUAGAAAAGGGGAAAAUGACCAUACACCAAAAUAGCUAGCUUAAUAUUAAUAAUAAGAUUUAAUUUUUCAAAAUCAUAUUUUAUUAUUAAUAUUUCAGAUUUAUUUUGUAAAUCCCAUUUUGUUGUUUAAUUUCUUUUUGGUCAUUUUUUCCUUUUAUAAAUAGGGACUCCUUCACAUUAUGUAUGUAAUUUUUAGAGUAGAGAAACUAUAGUAAAAUUUCCACUCACUUUCUUCUCAUAUUUUCUUCUUAGAAUUUUGUGAGAAUUAUGAACAUAAUGGCCUAAUCUUCUUAGGAAGGUUAUGGACGAUUCCAUAUGCAAGUGAUGUUAUUUUGCUACUUUGAUUUACUAUGUCUUAAUGUAAUAUAUUUGAGUUAUUUAUGUUCUUUCA
This is a long non-coding RNA of Humulus lupulus (European hop), 4625 nucleotides long. RefSeq lists it as uncharacterized. Lineage: Eukaryota; Viridiplantae; Streptophyta; Magnoliopsida; Rosales; Cannabaceae. The record is from RefSeq and is a predicted model, not a curated record. The transcript has 7 exons.